UGACAGCCCCGUACACAAAAAUGCACAUGCUGUGAGCUCGAUGAGUAGGGCGGGACACGUGGUAUCCUGUCUGAAUAUGGGGGGACCAUCCUCCAAGGCUAAAUACUCCUGACUGACCGAUAGUGAACCAGUACCGUGAGGGAAAGGCGAAAAGAACCCCGGCGAGGGGAGUGAAAAAGAACCUGAAACCGUGUACGUACAAGCAGUGGGAGCACAGAGCAAUCUGUGUGACUGCGUACCUUUUGUAUAAUGGGUCAGCGACUUAUAUUCUGUAGCAAGGUUAACCGAAUAGGGGAGCCGAAGGGAAACCGAGUCUUAACUGGGCGUUAAGUUGCAGGGUAUAGACCCGAAACCCGGUGAUCUAGCCAUGGGCAGGUUGAAGGUUGGGUAACACUAACUGGAGGACCGAACCGACUAAUGUUGAAAAAUUAGCGGAUGACUUGUGGCUGGGGGUGAAAGGCCAAUCAAACCGGGAGAUAGCUGGUUCUCCCCGAAAGCUAUUUAGGUAGCGCCUCGUGAAUUCAUCUCCGGGGGUAGAGCACUGUUUCGGCAAGGGGGUCAUCCCGACUUACCAACCCGAUGCAAACUGCGAAUACCGGAGAAUGUUAUCACGGGAGACACACGGCGGGUGCUAACGUCCGUCGUGAAGAGGGAAACAACCCAGACCGCCAGCUAAGGUCCCAAAGUCAUGGUUAAGUGGGAAACGAUGUGGGAAGGCCCAGACAGCCAGGAUGUUGGCUUAGAAGCAGCCAUCAUUUAAAGAAAGCGUAAUAGCUCACUGGUCGAGUCGGCCUGCGCGGAAGAUGUAACGGGGCUAAACCAUGCACCGAAGCUGCGGCAGCGACGCUUAUGCGUUGUUGGGUAGGGGAGCGUUCUGUAAGCCUGUGAAGGUGUGCUGUGAGGCAUGCUGGAGGUAUCAGAAGUGCGAAUGCUGACAUAAGUAACGAUAAAGCGGGUGAAAAGCCCGCUCGCCGGAAGACCAAGGGUUCCUGUCCAACGUUAAUCGGGGCAGGGUGAGUCGACCCCUAAGGCGAGGCCGAAAGGCGUAGUCGAUGGGAAACAGGUUAAUAUUCCUGUACUUGGUGUUACUGCGAAGGGGGGACGGAGAAGGCUAUGUUGGCCGGGCGACGGUUGUCCCGGUUUAAGCGUGUAGGCUGGUUUUCCAGGCAAAUCCGGAAAAUCAAGGCUGAGGCGUGAUGACGAGGCACUACGGUGCUGAAGCAACAAAUGCCCUGCUUCCAGGAAAAGCCUCUAAGCAUCAGGUAACAUCAAAUCGUACCCCAAACCGACACAGGUGGUCAGGUAGAGAAUACCAAGGCGCUUGAGAGAACUCGGGUGAAGGAACUAGGCAAAAUGGUGCCGUAACUUCGGGAGAAGGCACGCUGAUAUGUAGGUGAAGUCCCUCGCGGAUGGAGCUGAAAUCAGUCGAAGAUACCAGCU
Molecule: ribosomal RNA, 1440 nt
Filed under: Escherichia coli
Lineage: Bacteria; Pseudomonadati; Pseudomonadota; Gammaproteobacteria; Enterobacterales; Enterobacteriaceae
Description: partial 23S ribosomal RNA
Rfam family: Bacterial large subunit ribosomal RNA
Source: RNAcentral